This 1074-nucleotide ribosomal RNA is filed under the name Microbacterium sp. HT-Z89-B2. RNAcentral's name for it is "bacterial SSU rRNA". It matches the Rfam family "Bacterial small subunit ribosomal RNA", at positions 457 to 1533 of the family's 1533-position model. Lineage: Bacteria; Bacillati; Actinomycetota; Actinomycetes; Micrococcales; Microbacteriaceae. The record is from RNAcentral.
AGAGGCUUUUUGUUGACGGUACUUGCAGAAAAAAGCGCCGGCUAAACUACGUGCCAGCAGCCGCGGUAAUACGUAGGGCGCAAGCGUUAUCCCGGAAAUUAUUGGGCGUAAAGAGCUCGUAGGCGGUUUGUCGCGUCUGCUGUGAAAUCCCGAGGCUCAACCUCGGGCCUGCAGUGGGUACGGGCAGACUAGAGUGCGGUAGGGGAGAUUGGAAUUCCUGGUGUAGCGGUGGAAUGCGCAGAUAUCAGGAGGAACACCGAUGGCGAAGGCAGAUCUCUGGGCCGUAACUGACGCUGAGGAGCGAAAGGGUGGGGAGCAAACAGGCUUAGAUACCCUGGUAGUCCACCCCGUAAACGUUGGGAACUAGUUGUGGGGUCCUUUCCACGGAUUCCGUGACGCAGCUAACGCAUUAAGUUCCCCGCCUGGGGAGUACGGCCGCAAGGCUAAAACUCAAAGGAAUUGACGGGGACCCGCACAAGCGGCGGAGCAUGCGGAUUAAUUCGAUGCAACGCGAAGAACCUUACCAAGGCUUGACAUACACGAGAACACCCUAGAAAUAGGGGACUCUUUGGACACUCGUGAACAGGUGGUGCAUGGUUGUCGUCAGCUCGUGUCGUGAGAUGUUGGGUUAAGUCCCGCAACGAGCGCAACCCUCGUUCUAUGUUGCCAGCACGUAAUGGUGGGAACUCAUGGGAUACUGCCGGGGUCAACUCGGAGGAAGGUGGGGAUGACGUCAAAUCAUCAUGCCCCUUAUGUCUUGGGCUUCACGCAUGCUACAAUGGCCGGUACAAAGGGCUGCAAUACCGUGAGGUGGAGCGAAUCCCAAAAAGCCGGUCCCAGUUCGGAUUGAGGUCUGCAACUCGACCUCAUGAAGUCGGAGUCGCUAGUAAUCGCAGAUCAGCAACGCUGCGGUGAAUACGUUCCCGGGUCUUGUACACACCGCCCGUCAAGUCAUGAAAGUCGGUAACACCUGAAGCCGGUGGCCCAACCCUUGUGGGGGGAGCCGUCGAAGGUGGGAUCGGUAAUUAGGACUAAGUCGAACAAGUGCUCGGCAUGGAUUGUCGCCUUUUGCGC